GACGAAGGAUGCAAGCGUUAUCCGGAUUCAUUGGGUUUAAAGGGCGCGUAGGUGGCCCAGUAAGUCAGUGGUGAAAUCUCCUCGCUUAACGAGGAAAUUGCCAUUGAUACUGCAGGGCUUGAGUACAGUUGCCGUUGGCGGAAUAUGACAUGUAGUGGUGAAAUACUUAGAUAUGUCAUAGAACACCGAUUGCGAAGGCAGCUGACGAAACUGUAACUGACACUGAGGCUCGAAAGUGUGGGGAUCAAACAGG
Molecule: ribosomal RNA, 253 nt
Filed under: uncultured bacterium
Lineage: Bacteria
Description: partial 16S ribosomal RNA
Rfam family: Bacterial small subunit ribosomal RNA
Source: RNAcentral